CCAAAACUGCACACAACUCCUGGACAGUGCUUCCCCUGUCAGAUUGCCCAUCACAGAAGUCUUACUCCCAAGAUACAAUGCUUUGCUGUUGCUGUGCUCAAAAAGCUGCUGCGAUUACUUCUUACAGAGAGGCUUAAGCAGACAAAUGUGUCCAGCUCUGGGUCAUUCCUGGAGCAUGGUACAAUUUCUCAGACUGGGAAGAAGCAUUACAGAGCUGCAGAGGGCAUUGCCGAAGGACAGAUUCUCUGUUAUGGCCUGAGAUGUGACAGCUCUGCUCCCAUUAGACAUGUCCUGGAUCAGAUCAGAGAUCUGUCUAGCCUGAUAUCUUCUUCCUGGCAGGACAUGCCUGGGGAAGGAUGGACAAAGUCAGCUGACAGAAUCUAGUGUGCAGGCAGGAAUGUCUUGAGUUUGGCACUGUGCCUCUAUUUUUAAUAACCUUCUGUGGAUUUCAUCCUUUCUGAUUUUGACUCAUCACCAUCUGAGCCCAUGAAGACUCCUGGUGUUGCUACACCUUCUGAAGGUGCAGCUGGAUGGAAGACCUCUGCCCUGGGCUAGGAGGUCCCUUGGAAGGGCCAGAGAUGCCAGAUGUAUCCAGACUGUGAAUCUGCUGUUCUUAAGGCAGAGAGGAGCAGUGGCACACAACUGAGAACCAGGUGUCAAGG
This is a long non-coding RNA of Manacus vitellinus (golden-collared manakin), 662 nucleotides long. RefSeq lists it as uncharacterized. The record is from RefSeq and is a predicted model, not a curated record. Lineage: Eukaryota; Metazoa; Chordata; Aves; Passeriformes; Pipridae. The transcript is spliced from 3 exons.